Molecule: ribosomal RNA, 266 nt
Filed under: Pseudomonas aeruginosa
Lineage: Bacteria; Pseudomonadati; Pseudomonadota; Gammaproteobacteria; Pseudomonadales; Pseudomonadaceae
Description: partial 23S ribosomal RNA
Rfam family: Bacterial large subunit ribosomal RNA
Source: RNAcentral
UAGUACGAGAGGACCGGAGUGGACGAACCUCUGGUGUUCCGGUUGUCACGCCAGUGGCAUUGCCGGGUAGCUAUGUUCGGAAAAGAUAACCGCUGAAAGCAUCUAAGCGGGAAACUUGCCUCAAGAUGAGAUCUCACUGGGAACUUGAUUCCCCUGAAGGGCCGUCGAAGACUACGACGUUGAUAGGCUGGGUGUGUAAGCGUUGUGAGGCGUUGAGCUAACCAGUACUAAUUGCCCGUGAGGCUUGACCAUAUAACACCCAAACA